GUUGCUUCGGUCUACUCCAACCCAUUGUGACCUUACCUAUGUUCUGUUGCCUCGGCGGCGUGGUCAGCGCCCCUCUGAAAAGAGGACGAUGCCCUCCCGCCGGCAGCACCAAACUCGAGAAUUUUACAGCGGAUUACAGUUCUGAUUUGAAAACAAAAAAACAAGUUAAAACUUUCAACAACGGAUCUCUUGGUUCUGGCAUCGAUGAAGAACGCAGCGAAAUGCGAUAAGUAAUGUGAAUUGCAGAAUUCAGUGAAUCAUCGAAUCUUUGAACGCACAUUGCGCCCGGCAGUAAUCUGCCGGGCAUGCCUGUCCGAGCGUCAUUUCAACCCUCGAACCUCCGUUUCCUCAGGGAAGCUCAGGGUCGGUGUUGGGGCGCUACGGCGAGUCUUCGCGACCCUCCGUAGGCCCUGAAAUACAGUGGCGGUCCCGCCGCGGUUGCCUUCUGCGUAGUAAGUCUCUUUUGCAAGCUCGCAUUGGGUCCCGGCGGAGGCCUGCCGUCAAACCACCUAUAACUCCAGAUGGUUUGACCUCGGAUCAGGUAGGGUUACCCGCUGAACUUAAGCAUAUCA
RNAcentral lists this ribosomal RNA (572 nucleotides) under Scedosporium boydii. RNAcentral's name for it is "eukaryotic LSU rRNA". The stretch from base 170 to 323 matches the Rfam family "5.8S ribosomal RNA". The record is from RNAcentral. Lineage: Eukaryota; Fungi; Ascomycota; Sordariomycetes; Microascales; Microascaceae.